RNAcentral lists this long non-coding RNA (376 nucleotides) under Volvox carteri. Its description in RNAcentral is "long non-coding RNA (VCAR_LNC002250)". Lineage: Eukaryota; Viridiplantae; Chlorophyta; Chlorophyceae; Chlamydomonadales; Volvocaceae. The record is from RNAcentral.
GUGGGUCUUGAGUCUAUUUGGCAUAGGCCCUUUCGGCUUCGGAUUUAACCGGGAAAGCAAUAACUUGGGCCGGAAAGGCAAGUACACCCGCAGACGCGACGAUGGGCAUGCCUUUUUAGUGCUCGUUGCCUGAGCACGGCAUGUGACAGUCAAACAUGCGGUUGCGGGAGGUCGAACUUAUUGUCUGUGCCCCCGCCUUCUUUGGGAGGAACGCCUGUCCCUCGCCUUAGACGUUAGGAUACACAAUGGAUCAAAACAUUUUGGGGACAGCAUGUGCCUGCCAGCGCCCUGGCAGCUCCGGAACGUGGCUCUGGUAAUCCUCCCAAGCGGGAUGCACCCAAGGGGCAUGGAAGCUCUCUUGCACUAAGCGGCACGG